AGGCUCAGGAUGAACGCGGCGGCGUGCUUAACACAUGCAAGUCGAACGGUGAAGCCCAGCUUGCUGGGUGGAUCAGUGGCGAACGGGUGAGUAACACGUGAGCAAUCUGCCCCUGACUCUGGGAUAAGCGCUGGAAACGGCGUCUAAUACCGGAUACGAGCUGCGGCCGCAUGGUCGGCAGUUGGAAAGAUUUUUCGGUCAGGGAUGAGCUCGCGGCCUAUCAGCUUGUUGGUGAGGUAAUGGCUCACCAAGGCGUCGACGGGUAGCCGGCCUGAGAGGGUGACCGGCCACACUGGGACUGAGACACGGCCCAGACUCCUACGGGAGGCAGCAGUGGGGAAUAUUGCACAAUGGGCGGAAGCCUGAUGCAGCAACGCCGCGUGAGGGAUGACGGCCUUCGGGUUGUAAACCUCUUUUAGCAGGGAAGAAGCGAAAGUGACGGUACCUGCAGAAAAAGCGCCGGCUAACUACGUGCCAGCAGCCGCGGUAAUACGUAGGGCGCAAGCGUUAUCCGGAAUUAUUGGGCGUAAAGAGCUCGUAGGCGGUCUGUCGCGUCUGCUGUGAAAUCCCGAGGCUCAACCUCGGGUCUGCAGUGGGUACGGGCAGACUAGAGUGCGGUAGGGGAGAUUGGAAUUCCUGGUGUAGCGGUGGAAUGCGCAGAUAUCAGGAGGAACACCGAUGGCGAAGGCAGAUCUCUGGGCCGUAACUGACGCUGAGGAGCGAAAGGGUGGGGAGCAAACAGGCUUAGAUACCCUGGUAGUCCACCCCGUAAACGUUGGGAACUAGUUGUGGGGUCCAUUCCACGGAUUCCGUGACGCAGCUAACGCAUUAAGUUCCCCGCCUGGGGAGUACGGCCGCAAGGCUAAAACUCAAAGGAAUUGACGGGGACCCGCACAAGCGGCGGAGCAUGCGGAUUAAUUCGAUGCAACGCGAAGAACCUUACCAAGGCUUGACAUAUAGAGGAAACGUCUGGAAACAGUCGCCCCGCAAGGUCUCUAUACAGGUGGUGCAUGGUUGUCGUCAGCUCGUGUCGUGAGAUGUUGGGUUAAGUCCCGCAACGAGCGCAACCCUCGUUCUAUGUUGCCAGCACGUAAUGGUGGGAACUCAUGGGAUACUGCCGGGGUCAACUCGGAGGAAGGUGGGGAUGACGUCAAAUCAUCAUGCCCCUUAUGUCUUGGGCUUCACGCAUGCU
Molecule: ribosomal RNA, 1192 nt
Filed under: Microbacterium sp.
Lineage: Bacteria; Bacillati; Actinomycetota; Actinomycetes; Micrococcales; Microbacteriaceae
Description: bacterial SSU rRNA
Rfam family: Bacterial small subunit ribosomal RNA
Source: RNAcentral